GACGAACGCUGGCGGCGUGCUUAACACAUGCAAGUCGAACGGAAAGGCCCCUUUGGGGGUACUCGAGUGGCGAACGGGUGAGUAACACGUGCGUAACCUGCCCUUGACUUCGGGAUAACUUCAGGAAACUGGGGCUAAUACCGGAUAGGAAUCAUUUCUUCAUGGUGGGGGUUGGAUAGCUUCGGCGGGUUUGGAUGGACUCUCGGCUUAUCAGCUUGUUGGUGGGGUAGUGGCUUACCAAGGCUUUGACGGGUAGCCGGCCUGAGAGGGCGACCGGCCACAUUGGGACUGAGAUACGGCCCAGACUCCUACGGGAGGCAGCAGUGGGGAAUAUUGCACAAUGGGCGGAAGCCUGAUGCAGCAACGCCGCGUGCGGGAUGACGGCCUUCGGGUUGUAAACCGCUUUCAGCAGGGGCGAAGCUUUUGUGACGGUACCUGCAGAAGAAGCACCGGCUAACUACGUG
Molecule: ribosomal RNA, 464 nt
Filed under: uncultured bacterium
Lineage: Bacteria
Description: partial 16S ribosomal RNA
Rfam family: Bacterial small subunit ribosomal RNA
Source: RNAcentral